UACGAAGGGGGCUAGCGUUGUUCGGAAUUACUGGGCGUAAAGGGCGCGUAGGCGGCCGAUUAAGUUAGAUGUGAAAGUCCUGGGCUCAACCUGGGGACUGCAUUUAAUACUGGUUGGCUUGAAUUCGGGAGAGGAUAGCGGAAUUCCCAGUGUAGAGGUGAAAUUCGUAGAUAUUGGGAAGAACACCGGUGGCGAAGGCGGUCCCCUGGGCCGGAACUGACGCUGAGGCGCGAAAGCGUGGGUAGCAAACGGG
This 253-nucleotide ribosomal RNA is filed under the name uncultured bacterium. Its description in RNAcentral is "partial 16S ribosomal RNA". It matches the Rfam family "Bacterial small subunit ribosomal RNA", at positions 524 to 776 of the family's 1533-position model. The record is from RNAcentral.